Molecule: ribosomal RNA, 237 nt
Filed under: uncultured bacterium
Lineage: Bacteria
Description: partial 16S ribosomal RNA
Rfam family: Bacterial small subunit ribosomal RNA
Source: RNAcentral
GAUCCUGGCUCAGGAUGAACGCUAGCGGCAGGCUUAACACAUGCAAGUCGAGGGGCAGCAUAAUGGAUAGCAAUAUCUAUGGUGGCGACCGGCGCACGGGUGCGUAACGCGUAUGCAACCUACCUUUAACAGGGGGAUAACACUGAGAAAUUGGUACUAAUACCCCAUAAUAUCAUAGAAGGCAUCUUUUAUGGUUGAAAAUUUCCGAUGGUUAGAGAUGGGCAUGCGUUGUAUUAG